Small nucleolar RNA from Dioscorea cayenensis subsp. rotundata (Guinea yam), 138 nucleotides. RefSeq annotates it as small nucleolar RNA Z247. The transcript has a single exon. The record is from RefSeq and is a predicted model, not a curated record. NCBI's taxonomy places the organism in Eukaryota, Viridiplantae, Streptophyta, Magnoliopsida, Dioscoreales, Dioscoreaceae.
CCCCUUAAAGAUGAAGAAAUCAUCACCUAUCUCCUUGCUGGUCUAGAUUCUAAAUUUGGCCCUCUUGUAACAUCUGUCACCAUGAGGACAGAUGCUAUGUCUCUGAGUGACAUCUAUGCCAUCUAUUGAGUUUUGAAA